CGGAACGUGGCGCAGCCUGGUAGCGCACCUGAAUGGGGUUCAGGGGGUCGCGGGUUCAAAUCCCGCCGUUCCGACAA
This 77-nucleotide transfer RNA is filed under the name Ignavibacteria bacterium. Its description in RNAcentral is "tRNA-Pro". It matches the Rfam family "tRNA". From Rfam's summary of the family: Transfer RNA (tRNA) molecules are approximately 80 nucleotides in length. Their secondary structure includes four short double-helical elements and three loops (D, anti-codon, and T loops). The record is from RNAcentral. Lineage: Bacteria; Pseudomonadati; Ignavibacteriota; Ignavibacteria.